This 1049-nucleotide long non-coding RNA is filed under the name Taeniopygia guttata (zebra finch). Its description in RNAcentral is "lncRNA (ENSTGUG00000019955.1)". The record is from RNAcentral. Lineage: Eukaryota; Metazoa; Chordata; Aves; Passeriformes; Estrildidae.
UUAGUGUAUGUGAACUUAUUUGUAACAGCAAGGUUAAUAAUUUAUUUAGUUGCCUCAGAACAUUCUGUGAGUUUGAUUAAGGUAAUAUUCUGGAGAUAUCUUUCUUGCCUUCCUGAGCCCUGGAGAGCCUCCUUUUAAAAAUGAAAUGUGUCAGCUGAGUGUGCAGAAAAAGAGAGGAUAAAGCAAGAAUCACAAAGCAGGCUGCAGAAAAACAUUCCUUAACAAGUAUAUUAUAUAACUAUAUUUUAUAUAUACAUAUAUAUGUAUAUGGGAAAACAUCUUACAUAUACUUUAUGUAACACUCUAGUCAGCAACUGUGAAUAAGAGAGAGGGUAUCAGAGCCCCUUGCCUGAUGUCUGACAAACAGGUUGAAGAACCAUCCAUUUUCUUCUUGAACUGAUGAGCCACAAACAUUGCAGUAAUGAUUUCCUUCAAGUGUCUGUGUGGAAUCCUCUGAGUGUGAAUCCAAUUAAGUAAAGAAGUAGCAAAAAGAGCUGCUCCUUUGCGGACCAUUCCUGUAACCAGUGCCUUCCAAAGACAGCGAUGAAGCAAAGAGCCUGAACCAUGAUCUGUUGCCAAAUGUGGCCACAUCUGGAGGCCCAAUGAGACUUUCAGGUCUACCUGAACAUUUCAGGAGUCUGCAAAUCUAAAGUUAAAUGUGUCACAACUCUUUUUCUGUGGACACGGUUCAUUAUAAAUUCCUCAGCCUUGCUUGAGUAUUGAAGCAAUUAUAACUUCCUACAGCCUCCAAAGUUUCUUUGUCAGAACAUUUCUGUGUUUUUUUCCCAGUGGUUGUCCAACUCUGACACAGCCACUGAGGAUGACACACACUGUUGUUGGCAGGAGAGUGGAUUAGAGCUCCAGCAACAGUCACCCUGUGACUGAGAUGCCUUUGCAAGUUAAGAGUGCUCAGGGAGUCACAAGCCUGGGGAAAGCACAGCCUGGAGAGAGGAAGCUGUGGUGAGGCGAGAGAGGCAAGGACAACUGGAAAACCUGACAAGACCCAUCAAAGGAGAAAUACAAAGCUGAGAUUCGAAAAGGACAAUUUU